RNAcentral lists this transfer RNA (83 nucleotides) under Desulfurella amilsii. It matches the Rfam family "tRNA". From Rfam's summary of the family: Transfer RNA (tRNA) molecules are approximately 80 nucleotides in length. Their secondary structure includes four short double-helical elements and three loops (D, anti-codon, and T loops). Further hydrogen bonds mediate the characteristic L-shaped molecular structure. tRNAs have two regions of fundamental functional importance: the anti-codon, which is responsible for specific mRNA codon recognition, and the 3' end, to which the tRNAs corresponding amino acid is attached (by aminoacyl-tRNA synthetases). tRNAs cope with the degeneracy of the genetic code in two manners: having more than one tRNA (with a specific anti-codon) for a particular amino acid; and 'wobble' base-pairing, i.e. permitting non-standard base-pairing at the 3rd anti-codon position. Lineage: Bacteria; Pseudomonadati; Campylobacterota; Desulfurellia; Desulfurellales; Desulfurellaceae. The record is from Rfam by way of RNAcentral.
GGAGAGGUUCCCGAGUGGCCAAAGGGAACAGACUGUAAAUCUGUCGGCUAUUGCCUUCGGAGGUUCGAAUCCUCCCCUCUCCA